Molecule: transfer RNA, 84 nt
Filed under: Siccirubricoccus deserti
Lineage: Bacteria; Pseudomonadati; Pseudomonadota; Alphaproteobacteria; Acetobacterales; Roseomonadaceae
Description: tRNA-Trp
Source: RNAcentral
CGGCGACUGCAGCGUGGUGCGCGGGCCGAUGGCGCUCUCCAGCAGCUUCAGCGCGAGUUCCAGGGUCGCAUCCUGGCUCGCCUG